GACGAACGCUGGCGGCGUGCUUAACACAUGCAAGUCGAACGGAAAGGCCUGCUUUCCCUUGUGGAUUGCGGGUACUCGGGUGGCGAACGGGUGAGUAACACGUGAGUGAUCUGCCCCCAACUUGGGUAUAAGCCUGGGAAACUGGGUCUAAUUCCCGAUAGGACUGCAGGGUGGUGCCUGUGGUGGAAAACGAUUUUCUAGUGGUUGGGGAUGAGCUCGCGGCCUAUCAGCUUGUUGGUGGGGUAAUGGCCUACCAAGGCGGCGACGGGUAGCCGGCCUGAGAGGGUGGACGGCCACAUUGGGACUGAGAUACGGCCCAGACUCCUACGGGAGGCAGCAGUGGGGAAUAUUGCACAAUGGGCGGAAGCCUGAUGCAGCGACGCCGCGUGGGGGAUGACGGCCCUCGGGUUGUAAACUCCUUUCGACCGCGAGGAAGCCACCUGGUUGGAAGGGUGGUGACGGUAGUGGUAGAAGAAGCACCGGCUAACUACGUG
This 494-nucleotide ribosomal RNA is filed under the name uncultured bacterium. RNAcentral's name for it is "partial 16S ribosomal RNA". It matches the Rfam family "Bacterial small subunit ribosomal RNA", at positions 28 to 507 of the family's 1533-position model. The record is from RNAcentral.